RNAcentral lists this ribosomal RNA (254 nucleotides) under uncultured bacterium. RNAcentral describes it as "partial 16S ribosomal RNA". It matches the Rfam family "Bacterial small subunit ribosomal RNA", at positions 524 to 776 of the family's 1533-position model. The record is from RNAcentral.
UACGUAGGGGGCGAGCGUUGUCCGGAUUUAUUGGGCGUAAAGAGCUCGUAGGCGGUUUGGUAAGUCGGAUGUGAAAUCUCCAGGCUCAACCUGGAGGGGUCAUUCGAGACUGCUAUGACUAGAGUUCGGUAGAGGAGUGUGGAAUUCCUGGUGGAGCGGUGAAAUGCGCAGAUAUCAGGAGGAACACCCGUAGCGAAGGCGGCACUCUGGGCCGAUACUGACGCUGAGGGGCGAAAGCGUGGGGAGCGAACAGG